RNAcentral lists this long non-coding RNA (2259 nucleotides) under Panax ginseng (ginseng). RNAcentral describes it as "long non-coding RNA (PGIN_LNC005269)". Lineage: Eukaryota; Viridiplantae; Streptophyta; Magnoliopsida; Apiales; Araliaceae. The record is from RNAcentral.
AACACUUGGUCUGGAAAACAAAAUAUACGUUAAUGAGCUUGUAGAUCACAAUUUUGAGAAUCUGGAUUGACAUAAAGAACAACUGACCCAAGAAACAUAAAUAAAGAACCAUGCUGCAAAGGGCAAAUCGGAAAGGCAAAAUAAAAGAAUUACUCAUUCAUAAAAUGCAAGUCACAAGCUUAAAUACAGUGUAACCUGAUAAUUAACAAUGCUGAGAAGUGCAAGUUACACAACAGAGGAAGAAAAAAAAAAGAUGGUGGAUGGGACAUGGUGGUACUCAAAACAGAGAAACUUAAGCCCUGCUCUUGAAAGGAAUGGCUCGGAUAACUAUCUGGUGGUACACAGCAGCAAGAGCGGCACCAAUGAAAGGACCAACCCAGAAGAUCCACUGAAAUUGAGAGAAAAAAAAACACUUACAUAAACUUUUACUGAAUUUAAAAUUUCUGAUUCUUAUAACAAAUAGAUAAAUAAAAACUACUCACGUGAUCAUCCCAGGCGUGAUCUUUGUUGAAGAUGAUGGCAGCUCCAAGACUUCUGGCUGGGUUGAUGCCAGUCCCUGUGAUGGGGAUGGUGGCCAAAUGAACUAAGAACACGGCAAAACCAAUGGGAAGAGGAGCCAAAAUCUGCAAUACAAUUCAAGAAAUAUUCUAUAAGACUUACAUAAGCAAGUACAAGUGCUGUUCAACAUUAGAUGAAGUCUAAAACUAAAGAUGGUUUACAUGGGAAAGGGACUCUACAACAUUUUUAUCUCAAUGAUUUAUUUAUUUAGGGGCCCAACGCUUCUUUUCUCAUCAUACUUUUAUAGAUAAAAAGCAUUUUUCAUGAAUUAAUGCUGGGUCCCACAAUUAAAAAAGCUACAACAGCUAGCAAGCACUAACAACAAUAAAAAUGCAAGCCUCACUGUAAUUUCCAUUGGAUUGAAAAGGUAAAUCAACACACUUUAACCCCUUGGAAAAGGCAUAUAGAUUUUACUUUGAAGAGAUCUAUCUAUAUUCUAUUCUAUCCUACCAGAAGAAAACUCCCCUUUCCUCCUCAACUAUACAAUAAUGCUUUUCUGGGUUCAAAAUCACCAUUUAAUUUACACAACUUAAAAGAAAAAGUGACACUAUGCAAGUUUCUAGCUUUUUGUUCAACAUCAUCCAAAGCAUAACCCAAACUAAUAUUGACAUAUUAAUAACCACACAUAAUUUAUUACAUAAUUUGCAUACAAAAUUAGUUGAUUCAUUGUGUUCAAGUAUAUUAACAUUCUGUGUAAAAUUUCUACUUGUAUACUGUUUCUUGUGAUAAAUAAUUCAUGUGAAGUGGAACCCAAAUUUGGAUAGAAUAUCAAAUUGUAAAUAAGUUCGAAAAGAGUACAUACAGGGACAUGUGAGUCUCUGGCGCUUCUCUUGGCAUCAGUGGCAGAGAACACAGUGUAGACAAGAACAAAGGUGCCAAUAAUCUCAGCACCAAGACCAUCACCCUUUGUGUAGCCAUGGUUCACAACAUUAGCCCCACCACCAUAAAACUCAAAUUUGGAUGAUCCCUCAAACCCCUUAAUAACACCAGCACCACAAAUGGCACCAAGGCACUGCAUCACCAUGUAGAACAAAGCCCUGGUCAGGGAAAGCUUCCUUGCCAGAAGCAAACCAAAGGUCACAGCUGGGUUAAUAUGUCCUCCUGUUUCCCAUCAAGUAACACAAUAAAUCAAUACUAGGCCUCAAGCAAUUUCAAAAGACUAAACAGAUAUACAACCAAAGUUAAAACCCAUAUUUCUUGUUGAAAAAAGGAAUAAGAGUUAUAUAAAUUGUUCUCAACUUCAGAUCACAUCUUUUAAAAACUCAAAUAUAGCUCAAAUAACUCAAGUUAAAUGGACACAAAUUAAUAGUACAAAAGCUAAAACACCCAUAUAAAUAUUAUCCCAAGAAAACAUGAAACUAUGAUAAAAAGGUUAAGAGUACAAGAUCUAAAAGAAACCCACAAAGAGUAAGAAAUUAGAGACUACUUAGGAUGAAAUGAGGAGAAACUAAGAAAUAUAUACUCGCAAGAAGAAAAACAGUAGAUUUGUGAAGUGAUGACAAAAAAUUUAGAGUAAAGACAGGGAAAAGAGAGGAAUCAUGUGUUGCUAACCUGAAAUACCAGCAGUGCAGUAGACAAGGGCAAAGAUCAUACCACCAAAGGCCCAAGCAAUUCCUUGAAUACCCACAGAGGCACACUUGUUAGGUGCCCUGGACACACCCAUAACAGUCAAGACAGUGAUGUAUAAGAACAAGAAGGUAG